UGAGGCUGUAGCUCAGUGGCAGAGCACUUGUCUAGCAUGCAUGAGGCACUGGGUUUGAUCCUCAGCACCACAA
This 73-nucleotide transfer RNA is filed under the name Marmota monax (woodchuck). Its description in RNAcentral is "tRNA.Ala". The stretch from base 7 to 67 matches the Rfam family "tRNA", at positions 6 to 65 of the family's 71-position model. Rfam says of the family: Transfer RNA (tRNA) molecules are approximately 80 nucleotides in length. Their secondary structure includes four short double-helical elements and three loops (D, anti-codon, and T loops). Lineage: Eukaryota; Metazoa; Chordata; Mammalia; Rodentia; Sciuridae. The record is from RNAcentral.